RNAcentral lists this unclassified non-coding RNA (188 nucleotides) under soil metagenome. RNAcentral describes it as "partial internal transcribed spacer 1". The record is from RNAcentral.
CAGAGUUGCAAAACUCCCACAAACCAUCGCGAAUCUUACCCGUACGGUUGCCUCGGCGCUGGCGGUCCGGAAGGCCCUCGGGCCCCCCGGAUCCUCGGGUCUCCCGCUCGCGGGAGGCUGCCCGCCGGAGUGCCGAAACCAAACUCUUGAUAUUCUAUGUCUCUCUGAGUAAACUUUUAAAUAAGUCA